This 450-nucleotide ribosomal RNA is filed under the name uncultured bacterium. RNAcentral describes it as "partial 16S ribosomal RNA". It matches the Rfam family "Bacterial small subunit ribosomal RNA", at positions 338 to 795 of the family's 1533-position model. The record is from RNAcentral.
CCUACGGGUGGCUGCAGUGAGGAAUAUUGGUCAAUGGGCGCAAGCCUGAACCAGCCAUCCCGCGUGCAGGAAGACGGCCCUAUGGGUUGUAAACUGCUUUUCCAGGGGACGAAUAGUUUCUACGUGUAGAGACCUGACGGUACCUUGGGAAUAAGCAUCGGCUAACUCCGUGCCAGCAGCCGCGGUAAUACGGAGGAUGCAAGCGUUAUCCGGUUUCAUUGGGGCAUAGGCGUAUUAAGGAGGAUUCAGUGAAAUCCUACAGCUUAACUGUAGAACUGCCAUUGAUACUGUUAGUCUUGAGUUUGGUUAAGGUAGGCGGAAUGUGUAAUGUAGCGGUGAAAUGCUUAGAUAUUACACAGAACACCAAUUGCGAAGGCAGCUUACUGGACCGACACUGACGCUGAGGCACGAAAGCGUGGGGAUCGAACAGGAUUAGAUACCCUGGUAGUC